This 543-nucleotide ribosomal RNA is filed under the name Triticum aestivum (bread wheat). RNAcentral's name for it is "partial small subunit ribosomal RNA". Lineage: Eukaryota; Viridiplantae; Streptophyta; Magnoliopsida; Poales; Poaceae. The record is from RNAcentral.
AUGGCGGCCACACUUGGCACCUCUGUCGCUGCCUUCCCGCAAAAGUACCUUGGGCUUCCCCUUUCUCCCCAUAAGUUGCACCCCUCCGCGUUCCAACCCGUCAUAGACCGUUGCGAUAUGUACUUGGCCGGAUGCACUCGAGCCAAUCUACGCCAUAAGUCCAUCAUCGAGACAUCAUCCUGUCCCCGUUGCGGCGGUGCGCCGAAGGAUCGUGCUCACCUCUUCUUCACUUGCCCCGCUGCUAUCACCAUAUGGGAUGCGCUCGGACUACAUCCGGCCUCCUCACCGCUUACGGAGCUGUGGAGCGUGCCAUGUCACCCCACCCUGCCGCAGUCCGUGUGGCCAUUCAUCCUAUUGCUUCUACUCUGGAAAAUUUGGGAUGCACGGAAUGCGAUGACCUUCAGAGGGGUUAACCAAACCCCACAUGAUGUAAUUAGGGCAGUAAUCUCUGACCUCGCUCUCUGGUCACACCGCCUCUCAAAGGCGGACCAAAUAAUCCCUGCCGGUCUAUGGCGGGAUUUCUUUUCCUCUCGUCUUACCUAA